This is an RNA transcript of Papaver somniferum (opium poppy), 2168 nucleotides long. It is a transcript of the gene named transcription initiation factor TFIID subunit 15b-like, with no coding region annotated. Lineage: Eukaryota; Viridiplantae; Streptophyta; Magnoliopsida; Ranunculales; Papaveraceae. The transcript is spliced from 7 exons. The record is from RefSeq and is a predicted model, not a curated record.
GCACGGUCUCGAGUUAACUAGUAGUAUAGAAAAGUAAGAGCUCGAAAAGAAAUAUCUUGAAACACACAGCGAAGAAGACACACACAAAACGAAACCCUAGAGAAAAACCCUAGAUCAUGUCCGGUAUGUACGGUGACGAAUCUGGUCCUCCCAGAGGUGGCGGAGGAGGUUAUGGUAAUAGCGGUGGUGGUGGAGGCUAUGGAGGUAGUAGCGGCGGCGGAGGUGGAUAUGGUGGUGGUAGGAGAGAAGGAAGUAGUGGAGGAGGCGGUGGAUAUGGUGGAAAUUCACAGAGUCGAGGUGGUGGUGGCGGAUACCAAGGUGGAGGAGAUCGGGGAGGUGGUCGUGGUGGUGGAUACCAAGGUGGAGGAGAUCGUGGUGGACGUGGAGGCGGUGGAGGACGCGGAGGUGGUGGUAAUGGAAGAGAUGGUGAUUGGAUGUGCCCUAAUUCAAGUUGUGGGAAUUCCAACUUCGCUAAAAGAACUGAGUGUAAUAAAUGUGGUACUCCGAAAACUAGUGGAGGUGGAGGUGGUGGUGGAGGAGGGGGUGGUUAUAACAGAGGUGAGAGUGGUGGGGGAUAUGGUGGGAGUGGUGGAUACCAAGGUGGAGAUCGCAGUGGUGGCCGUGGAGGUAGUUAUGGACAGCCCCCUCCUGCAGCAGCAUCUUACGGUGGAGCUGGUGGAAAUUAUCCUCCUCCUAGUAGUUAUGGUGGUGGUGGGAAUAGUAAUUAUGGAACUGAUGCAGUUCCUCCACCUACUAGCUACACUGGUGGACCGAAUGCAUAUCCUCCAUCAUACGGUGGUGGUACUCCAAGUUACGGAGAUGAUAAACGAGGUGGUAGAGGAGGUUCAUAUGGAGGCUCCAACGAUAGAGGCAGUGGUGGUCGGGGAGGUUCUUAUAAUGGUUCUAGUGAUACAAGAGGAAGUGGUAGAGGAGGUUCACAAGGUGGAUAUGAUGGUGGUUAUGGUGGUAAUUCUGGUGCUCGAAACUCUGGAGGAGGUGGUUAUGGUGGUGGAUCUGCUGAACCUGAAGUAGAAGUGAAGCAAUGUGAAGAAGGAAAAUGUGGUGACAAUUGUGAUAAUUCAAGGAUCUACAUAUCAAAUCUGCCCUUGGAUGUGACUACUGAUGAGCUAAGAGAGCUUUUUGGAGGGAUAGGUCAGAUUGCAAGGAUAAAACAAAAGAGAGGAUACAAGGAUCAAUGGCCCUGGAACAUUAAGCUUUACACAGAUGAUUCUGGAAAACCCAAAGGAGAUGGAGUUCUGUCAUAUGAAGAUCCUUCCGCCGCACAUGCUGCUGGAGGGUUUUACAACAAUCACGAGUUGCGGGGUAAUAAAAUCACUGUUACGAUGGCGGCAAAAUCUGCACCCAGACCUGCACCUGCUUUUGGACAAGGUGGUGGUGGCGGUGGUAGAGGUGGUGGUUAUGGUGGUGGACGUAGAGACAACUACAGAGAUGGAGGCUCUGGGCCUGAUAGACAUCAACAUGGGGGAAACCGUUCACGGCCGUACUGAUGGAAUGUGUGUACUUUUCACUGAUAAGCUCAUGUACUAAGAUAUGUGAAAUCUAAAGCACCUUAUCUGUCAGAGUUGUUCCAAGAGGAGACAAAGAGGUAGGUGGUCUCACAUUGUCUAAGCAAACGUCCCCUCUCUUUGCUCCUUCUCCCCUAUUACAAGUUGAAGGGAUUUUGUUAUUUUAAGCUUAGGAAUAAUUUCAAGUUAUGUGAAUCUUUUUAUCGAGGAAUGUGGAUAACCUCCAAAUUGCUGCUACUAUGGUAGGUUGAGAUUUACAGUUAUCACAUUGAUGAAGAGAAAAUGAAGUAGCUCAUCAACUGCAUGCUAGGAAAGGAAAACAGAAAUGGCAAGUUUAGAACUGGUGGAUCUGACUUGUUGAAUUAGUCUACCUACCGAAAUUCCUGUUAACUACCGUUGCAUUUGCUGCAUCGGUAUAAGUUUGUACCGAAUGUAAACAGAAGAGGGUAGCAGCAGCACUUAUAGAUAUGUCCUGUUGUGGGGAUAGAUGUGUCCCAGUUUGGUUAACCCAAAAUCUGCCUUUUUGACUCCGACGCCAUUCAGUGUAACACUGUAACCUGACAAUUGUUACCCAAACUCUGCCUUGUAAAUUAAUCCAUAAUAUCGCCUCCUGAUCCAUAUAUGACAGAACAUUUUGCAACA